CAUUCCAUGGCUAAACUGGUCAAGGCAUCGCUUAUUAUAGGCGAAGAUGCUGGUUCGACUCCCGCUGGAACGG
Molecule: transfer RNA, 73 nt
Organism: Operophtera brumata (winter moth)
Lineage: Eukaryota; Metazoa; Arthropoda; Insecta; Lepidoptera; Geometridae
Rfam family: tRNA
About the family: Transfer RNA (tRNA) molecules are approximately 80 nucleotides in length. Their secondary structure includes four short double-helical elements and three loops (D, anti-codon, and T loops).
Source: Rfam